GUCGAGAAUCUUUCACAAUGGGGGCAACCCUGAUGGAGCGACGCCGCGUGGAGGAUAAGGUCUUCGGAUUGUAAACUCCUGUCAUGCGUGAACAAGGUUGCUUGGUUAAUACCUGGGCAAAUUGAUGGUAACGCAAGAGGAAGAGACGGCUAACUCUGUGCCAGCAGCCGCGGUAAUACAGAGGUCUCAAGCGUUGUUCGGAAUCACUGGGCGUAAAGGGUGCGUAGGUGGCGUGGUAAGUCAGAUGUGAAAGCCCGGGGCUCAACCUCGGAACUGCAUCCGAUAAUGCCAUGCUAGAGUACUGGAGAGGUGACUAGAAUUCUCGGUGUAGCAGUGAAAUGCGUAGAUAUCGAGAGGAAUACCAAAGGCGUAGGCAGGUCACUGGACAGUUACUGACACUGAGGCACGAAGGCCAGGGGAGCGAACGGGAUUAGAUACCCCAGUAGUCC
Molecule: ribosomal RNA, 449 nt
Filed under: uncultured bacterium
Lineage: Bacteria
Description: partial 16S ribosomal RNA
Rfam family: Bacterial small subunit ribosomal RNA
Source: RNAcentral